AUAUAUCCUGUUUUAACAUUCUAAACUCAUUUCAUGUAACACUAUUUAUAUUCGAUCUCAAUCCUCUGAGCAAAAGGUUGGCGUAGAAAACCGUCUUGGGCACGCUAGUCGAAUCUCUUGCGGUUUUACCAGAGGCGGUUCAAGAGAAACAAUUUAUUAUUGGUCGAUGAAGGAUUUGUGAAGAAACGAGAUUGGAGUUAUCUAAUUUGUGAAUGGUCUCGGAUCCAUGCAUAAUUAUUGUUGACACAUCGCGGGUAAACUCCUUAUGGAAGUCAAUGGUUCGGUCCUUAAUACUCAGAAAUGGAUGAUAGUCAAGCAAGUAAAUUGGUGUGAAUGUUCCAGCUAGAGUAUGUAACAUGUAGGAUUAUUAUAAAAGAGUUUUGAGUGUAAAAUGGAGAAUUCUUUACUGUUUAUUAUCUGGAUUUUAAUGCAAUUGUUUUUGGUUGGCGUUCAUGGUAGAACUAGUAAUAAAGUUCAGUGUGAUCCAACUGUAAACAAUUCCUGUCCAAAGGGUUAUUGCUGUGUUAAAGAGGUUUAUGUAUCAAUGGAUGUAACUAAACCAGCUAAUGGUUUUACAGUAUGCCAUCGUAGAUUACAGAAAGAUGAGUUCUGUCUACAUAAAGCUGAAGGUUUCCUAUGUCAGUGUGAUGAAGGACUUACGUGUGUAUCACAAGAUGUUGAAAAUAACUUUGGACAUUGUCAACGCAAGUAAAAAUGACAAUAACUGUAUCACACAUUAUAGAUUUACUGGUGUUUCAGUAAACAUUUAAAUAUGGACAAAAACAACCAGAUUCAGAUAACCAGGCCAGUAGUUAGCCCAAAAUUGUUGGGGGGGGGGGGUAAAGGCUUAUGGGCGCACCGAUGCACCUACACUUGACGGUCCACGGGUUUAGGGUGCUCUGCCCCUAGAAAAUUUUGUAGGAUAGGGUUUGAACCUGAAAAUGUCGUGGACGGCCACUAAUCUCGGCAUUAUGGGCACCCCUCCGGAAUGAGGCACCCCACAAAUCAUGCCGUUUUAGGCGCCCCAUUGAUCAAGUCGCGGGCGCCCAGCCAAUCUUACUCGGCAUUAUGUAAUAUGUGCAGCCCCACAAUCAUAUAUCGUUAUUAUGGGCGCCUCUCCGGGAUAAGGCACCCCACAGAUCAAGUCGUUUUGGGCGCCCCGUCAGUUGUGGUGUUAAUCGUGUGAGUCAUUAUGAGGAUUUGGGGAGCGCCUCAUAUAUAACGAUAUGAUUGGCGAGGCGUCCAAGUGACAUUGGUUGCGCGCCCCGCCAAUCUCGUCGUGGGCGCCCAACUAAUGUCACGCGGCUUUAAGUGGCGCCCAUACUGAUAUGGGCACGUUGGUCGUUGGCUUCGUGUUGCGUCCAAUCAAAAGGGCGCCCCCCCCCCCAUCAGCUACGGGCCUGAUAACAUAACAUUGCCUUUUUAAAACAAUAAUAAUGAGACUUCAUGAUGAAAACAAUUUUUCGUGUGUAAAUUAUAGCACGUCAUAUUGAUUUUUGUUUUUUUUGUUUUUUUUUUUUUUACUUCCUAGUGUUCAGUGGUGUUAAUAAUUUCAUACAAAUCAUGAAGAUACCAUUUUUUGUAGAAUUAAAUAAAUGCUAUCAAUUUAUUCCUAUAACUACAUUUAGCUGUUCUGUUAUAUUGGUUUUUACUGCUGCUCUGGUUGCAGAAAUGCUAAUUUGAAAAGCUUUUUAUUUAUCUGAUCAAGCAUGGAUUCUAUACCUUUGGUUUCCUAAUUAGAAGUUUGUAUUCAACAGCCCUUAAUAUUCAUGAUUGUACCUAUCAUUACAAAGGUAAU
Molecule: long non-coding RNA, 1798 nt
Organism: Patella vulgata (common limpet)
Lineage: Eukaryota; Metazoa; Mollusca; Gastropoda; Patellidae
Exons: 3
Source: RefSeq, a predicted model, not a curated record